GUUAGGAAUCUUAUAAUUUUUAUUAUAAGUUUAAAGACGAAUCUAACUAACAGUGUCGUCCAAAUUCUGGUGCCAGAAGACUCGGUAAUACCAGAGACGCGAACGUUAAUCAUCUUGAAUGGGCAUAAAGGGUUUGUAGGCGGCUUAUUUAUUAAUAGGCUAGAAUCUUAGAGAGGUUAAUAAAAUACUUAGAGGAGGGCUGAUAUCCUUAGAUCCUAAGUGGAAUCCUAAUUGCGAAGGCCAUUUUCCACUACAGAUUGACGCUGAUACACGAAGGUUAGGAUAGGAACUAGGAUUAGAGACCCUAUUACCCCUAACUGUAAACGAUGAAUGGAAGAUAUUUACAACUGUAAGUGUCGAAGUGAAUACGAUAACCAUUCCGCCUUGCCAGUAUACUUGCAAAAGUGAAAACAAAAAAAUUAGUCGGUCCUAAAGCAAACGAAGUGAAGCAUGUUAUUUAAUA
This 463-nucleotide ribosomal RNA is filed under the name Cantharellus versicolor. Its description in RNAcentral is "SSU rRNA". It matches the Rfam family "Bacterial small subunit ribosomal RNA", at positions 434 to 951 of the family's 1533-position model. Lineage: Eukaryota; Fungi; Basidiomycota; Agaricomycetes; Cantharellales; Hydnaceae. The record is from RNAcentral.